CAGGCCUAACACAUGCAAGUCGAACGCGAAAGGGACUUCGGUCCUUAGUAGAGUGGCGCACGGGUGAGUAACGCGUGGGAACGUACCCUGGAGUGGGAAUAACCAUUGGAAACGAUGGUUAAUACCGCAUAAUGUCUUCGGACCAAAGAUUUAUCGCUCUUGGAUCGGCCCGCGUUAGAUUAGUUUGUUGGUGGGGUAAUGGCCUACCAAGACUACGAUCUAUAGCUGGUUUGAGAGGACGACCAGCCACACUGGGACUGAGACACGGCCCAGACUCCUACGGGAGGCAGCAGUGGGGAAUAUUGGACAAUGGGCGCAAGCCUGAUCCAGCCAUGCCGCGUGAGUGAUGAAGGCCUUAGGGUUGUAAAGCUCUUUCAACGGUGAAGAUGAUGACGGUAACCGUAGAAGAAGCCCCGGCUAACUUCGUGCCAGCCGCCGCGGUAA
RNAcentral lists this ribosomal RNA (444 nucleotides) under uncultured bacterium. RNAcentral describes it as "partial 16S ribosomal RNA". It matches the Rfam family "Bacterial small subunit ribosomal RNA", at positions 43 to 523 of the family's 1533-position model. The record is from RNAcentral.